Long non-coding RNA from Pongo pygmaeus (Bornean orangutan), 1672 nucleotides. RefSeq lists it as uncharacterized. The record is from RefSeq and is a predicted model, not a curated record. Lineage: Eukaryota; Metazoa; Chordata; Mammalia; Primates; Hominidae. The transcript is spliced from 3 exons.
UUCUCCUUACUGUACAUGUGGCUGGCAAAGAAGGGAAGGUGGAGCCGCUAUUUUGAACAUGAUUGGCACAACUGCCAGCAUCUAUGUCUGCAGCUCGAUUUUACAGGCUGCUCUUUGUUGGAAAGGAAAAUGAUUUGGGGCUACUUUUCAUUAAAAGGAAAACCUUACUGAAAACUUCCAUACCCUCACUCUCUGUGGCUCUCCCAGAGGGUGACUAUUUUGCUUGGAGUCAAUUGGACACAGGAUCCCAUCUUGGAUACCACAGUGCCUUAAACGCUGCCUCAGCCAGGUGAUCAAGGUCAGUGUCUACUGUGAUAAGUCAUGUUUUUGCUGUGUACCCUUGAUGUGAUGUGAUAAAAAUGGCACUUUACCCCUCUGGUCUUCCUCUGAAAAAUCCCAUAACAGCAGCCUAAUCAGGAGAAGCACAUCAACAAAACUGAAACUCAGGGACAUUCUACAAAAUGCCAGGCUGUCCCUCCUCAAAAUUGUCAAGUUCACUAAAAACAAGGUGAAUCUAAGAAACCUGUUGCAGCCAAGAGGAGCCCAAGAAGACAUGAGGACUAAAUGUAACAUGGAAUUUGGGAUAGGAUUGUGCAACAGAAAAUGUAUGUGCUAAUGUGAGAUGUUAACAAUUGCAGAAACUCAGUGUUGGGUAUAAGGAAUUCUCUGUACUAUGUUUGAGACUUACCUAUAAACCUAACAUUGCUCUACAACAAAAAAAGUUUACCUAAAAACAACUCUGUGGUGAGCAAACUUAAGCAUAGAAAUGUUAAAUAAAUUGUCCAAAAUAGAGAAGUAAAUAGCAGUGCCAGGUUUCAAGCAUAAGAAUCAUCAACUCUGAACUUUAAACACAGCUCUGUAUGGUACUUUUGUUUAUAUCAAUGCCUAGAUAGACAAACAGAUAGAUAAUUUCCAAGUGCUAGAAACAAAAAAGGAACUAAAACUGAUAAAGAAUAUAAAUGAGGCCAGGCAGGCUGGCUCACACCUGUAAUCCCAGCAUUUUGGGAGGCUGAGGCAGGCAGAUCACUGAAGGUUCAGAGUUCAAGACCAGCCUGGCCAACUGGUGAAACCCUGUCUCUACUAAAUAAAUAAAUAAAUAAAUAAAUAAAUAAAUAAAUAAAUAAAACAGCCAGGUGUGGUGGCAUGUGCCUGUGAAGCAAGAGAUGUGAGAGGAAAAACAAAUUUUCCCUCUUUCUUUUGGUAUAAGCAGCUUCCCCCUUGAAUCCCUCCUCACUCCGUGUGAUUUUACCCUGCUCUGCAAGUUUUAUGAGUUUGUAGAUUCCUGUUUUCUGUAACUAGUGUCUGUAAGUCUCUGUAGCACCAUGGAGGUAAUGAGACAUGCUUGAGCAAGCUUAGAUUGCAGCCAUCUGGGCGCCAUAGUGAAGGACACGAGAUAAGGCUGUGCAGGCAUCUUGAGCAAACCUAGAUAACAGCCACCUGGCCUGCACAGCAAGAGUCAUAUGUAAGCUUGAGUUAGGAACCUGUCACAGUUUGAUUUACUGCCUUUGUUCUGCUUCUGUAAGCUCGCUUUCCACACCCCACAAGUUGUGCGCCACUGGCAAGCCACCCUCCUUCAGCUGCAUGAAUAAAAGUCAAGCCCUGUCUUCGUUUGUUGCUCAGCCUCUGGAUAUUAAUCCACUAAGCCAGUGGCAACCUAAAUAAAAUCCUCCUG